CACGUAGGGGGCGAGCGUUGUCCGGAUUUAUUGGGCGUAAAGAGCGUGUAGGCGGCCCGGUAAGUCCGUUGUGAAAGUCGAGGGCUCAACCCUCGAAUGCCGGCGGAUACUGUCGGGCUAGAAUCCGGAAGAGGCGAGUGGAAUUCCUGGUGUAGCGGUGAAAUGCGCAGAUAUCAGGAGGAACACCAAUGGCGAAGGCAGCUCGCUGGGACGGUAUUGACGCUGAGACGCGAAAGCGUGGGGAGCAAACAGG
RNAcentral lists this ribosomal RNA (253 nucleotides) under uncultured bacterium. Its description in RNAcentral is "partial 16S ribosomal RNA". It matches the Rfam family "Bacterial small subunit ribosomal RNA", at positions 524 to 776 of the family's 1533-position model. The record is from RNAcentral.